Cebus imitator (Panamanian white-faced capuchin) is the source of this 442-nucleotide long non-coding RNA. RefSeq lists it as uncharacterized. Lineage: Eukaryota; Metazoa; Chordata; Mammalia; Primates; Cebidae. The record is from RefSeq and is a predicted model, not a curated record. The transcript is spliced from 4 exons.
GGAACUUGAUAUAUAUUCGACCCUAUGCACUUUCCGUCCUAGUCCAGCCUUCAAAUGGAGAAGUGGGAAAUGAGCUUCCAGUGCAGCCACAACUGGUAUUUUUGGAUCAGCAGAAUCGAAGAGUGGAGUCUCUGGGGCCCCCUUCAGAGCCAUGGACAAUUUCAGCUUCCCUAGAAGGGGCAUCAGACUCAGCGCUAAAAGGAUGCACUCAGGCAGAAACUCAAGAUGGUUAUGUUAGCUUCUACAACUUGGCAGUCUUGAUCUCUGGGUCAAACUGGCAGUUCAUUUUUACUGUCACUUCUCCUCCAGGAGUCAAUUUUACAGCUCGAUCCAAGCCAUUUGCUAUCUUGCCUGUGACUAGGAAGGAGAAGUCAACCAUCAUACUGGCUGCUUCCCUGUCCUCUGUGGUCUCGUGGCUGGCUCUGAGCUGUCUGGUGUGCUG